ACGCAAUUCAAUUUCGUUGUCCUCCCCCAAAAAUUCCAUUCUUGAAUCCUCAGCUCUUUCUUCCCAGCACAUUGGCACUUCUUCAGUCCCCGAUCCCGUAUGCAAUCGCACACUUGAUCACUCGGCUUCCAAAAACCCUUUCACAAAUCCAAUCGCACUGUCCCACUUGCUGUCAAAUUCCUCAAACACUACGAUGGCGCCUCCUCCUGGACCCUAUUCCGGCACCAGCACCCUCGCUUUAGUAAAUUACAUAUCUCUUCGACGUUUUUUUCCCCAGUAGUAUACGUACAAAGAUAUGCUAAAUUGUAAUGUAUUUCUACGGAUGUCAGGUGGUUCGAGUGUCCGCUUUUUCAUUAGGGCUUAUCUACGGAAACAUGAAACUCAAGAUUAUUAGGGUACUGUAAUUUUAAAUUUUCUGACUGAUCCUUUCGAUUUUAUUUUAUUUUUUAAUUUUUGGUUGCAUUAAAUAGAAAGAAAGAAAUAAGUUUGUGUUGAGCUAUAUUUUGUUCUUAAUUGAUUGGUGGUAUUUCAGUAAUUUUGUUCCACUUUAAGUUUCUUAGGUUAAUUGAUUUUGGGGGUUUAUCUAAGUGGGAAAUGUUGGUUAUAUGUAGAUCAGGUAAUUCAAGCUGAAUUAUUCUGUUUUAAGAUUGGGAUUAUGUUUGCUGUGUUUUUGUUCUGUUUUGUUUGGAUGAAACAAGAUUAAAAGAGCAACGUUGGGAGCUUCAAAGUUGAGAUUUGGGGGAUGGACAAAUUGAAGACAGAAAAUGGAACCAAAGGAUGGCCCUUAGCGUAGGCUGGUGAAAUUGGACUAUGUUACGAUUUUUCUUGGAAUCCAUUAUAAUGAAGGCUAACCAAAUACGUAUUUAGAAUUGCGGGAAAAAGAACAUUUCCAUUUAAUUAUUCGAGGAAGAUCAUUUCAGACUAAUCCCAGAACUUAGAUGGGUAUGCUGUGUUAGGGCCAGAAUAAUGUCUUUGUAAUGCUUGAAGAUCACAGUGCUUUCUGGUCACUGUUUAAUUUUCUCAUUGCAAUUGCAAAUUAUAUUCAGUACUAAAGAGAAUGGUCUCCCUUGUUUUUUGUUGUAAGACCACUUUUUUCCUUGGUCAUGCAUGAUAUUAGCUAAUUAGAAGAUAGACAAACUUUAUGUGCUUGAUUGCCUUAGUUGAUAAUCUUGACUCAGUAAGAAUCUUGGUGCUUCUAUAUGCUAGCAUUUGUCGUACGGUGUUGGUUAACUUUUUGUUUUUUCAAAUUGGUCUAACUGAGAAGUGGUUAUCUUUAUGGGACACGAACUUUGCAACGGAAGACAAUUAUUUUGAAGAUUAUCACAAAUAAUACAAAAAUCUUGCGUCA
RNAcentral lists this long non-coding RNA (1348 nucleotides) under Olea europaea subsp. europaea. Lineage: Eukaryota; Viridiplantae; Streptophyta; Magnoliopsida; Lamiales; Oleaceae. The record is from RNAcentral.